This 435-nucleotide unclassified non-coding RNA is filed under the name Hevea brasiliensis (rubber tree). The record is from RNAcentral. Lineage: Eukaryota; Viridiplantae; Streptophyta; Magnoliopsida; Malpighiales; Euphorbiaceae.
CACAAAAGAAGACCCUGGGUGUAGGCGCUGGGAUCGUGAGGGAACUCAUUGAGUACUUCAAUUUCAUAGAUUUUUCGGGAAGGGAUCAAUGGACAUAAAACUGCACCAGAUUAACGUCCAAUUGCGCAAAAGAGCGAUCACAUCGAAGGUCAUAACUAAAAAAAUAUAUAGGGCACUUUCUUGAAAGUGAAAUGAGAAGUUAGAGAAGAGACCAUGGAAAUGUGGAGGUUGAUCUCUUCCCCGACCUCCAUUGAGGAGGAAGAGGGAUAGAUUUGUGUGAUAGGCGUAUGGCCAGCUGCGUACUGUUUGGCAGGAAGGAAAUUGAAAAGGAAAGAAGGGAGUGAAGUGAGGGAAUGGACUAGAUUACUUUUUGGCCAUCGUCGCCACCUGACGGAUGAGAAUAAAGAAGUUAACAAUUGAUGGGAAAGAUAACAA